RNAcentral lists this ribosomal RNA (253 nucleotides) under uncultured bacterium. Its description in RNAcentral is "partial 16S ribosomal RNA". It matches the Rfam family "Bacterial small subunit ribosomal RNA", at positions 524 to 776 of the family's 1533-position model. The record is from RNAcentral.
UACGUAGGGUGCAAGCGUUGUCCGGAAUUAUUGGGCGUAAAGAGCUCGUAGGCGGUCUGUUGCGUCGGCUGUGAAAACCCGAGGCUCAACCUCGGGCCUGCAGCCGAUACGGGCAGACUAGAGUUCGGCAGGGGAGACUGGAAUUCCUGGUGUAGCGGUGAAAUGCGCAGAUAUCAGGAGGAACACCGGUGGCGAAGGCGGGUCUCUGGGCCGAUACUGACGCUGAGGAGCGAAAGCGUGGGUAGCAAACAGG